This 477-nucleotide ribosomal RNA is filed under the name Triticum aestivum (bread wheat). Its description in RNAcentral is "partial small subunit ribosomal RNA". Lineage: Eukaryota; Viridiplantae; Streptophyta; Magnoliopsida; Poales; Poaceae. The record is from RNAcentral.
AUGUAUAGCUACAUACUACGUUCUAUACUACUCAAAUUUCGUCGUUGUCGGAGAUGGCCUGAGUCGCCUGCGCCGGAGCCGGAGCCGCCUGCGCCACCUGAGCCUCGGCCGACGGCGACGCCUGACCUCCGCAGCCGACUCCGCGCGGAUGGAGUUCAGGAUGGCGUGUUGCUCCGUCCACACGCCCACGUCCUCCUCCAUCGCAAGCGCCUCCUCCUCCCCCACAUCCAGCGGCGGCGCUUCCUCCGCGGGCUCCUGCUCCUCCUCCUCUUCCUCGCCCGCCGGCUCCUGCUCCUCCUUCUCUUCCUCGCCCAUUGGCUCCUGCUCCUCCUCCUCUUCCUCCUCCGCCGGCUCCUCCUCCUCCUCCUAAGCCGGCUCCUCCUCCUCCUCCUCUUCCUCCUCCGCCGGUUCCUCCUCCUCCUCCGCCGGCUCCUCCUCAUCCACCUCCUCAAAAUCCUCCUACGACUCCAGAGGUAG